ACCCUCUUGCCACCAACCACAAACAGGUAAAUUCUCUUCUAUAGCCUCCCACCUCUCAGUUCUCACAAAGAAGGGACAGUCAGACUGGGUGCAGUGGACCAGAAUGAUGGAGAAAGAAUUACGACAAGUCAAGGAAGCCCUCAUUAGGUGUUACAGAACCCCAACUUUAGCCUCCCUUUCCACUGAUGCUUAAGAGACAGGACUUGGGGCUGUCUGUGAGGUCACCCCUGUACACGUAAAUUUCCAGAGCCAGGAAGGUGAGUCGCCACAUUUAGACCUUUUUCAGAGGGUCUAACUGGUCCAAAGAGAAGAAAAAUCCUUAGAAGGUGAGGCACAAAAUAUUAACCUGAAUAAACAAACUGAAUAAGACACACAUUCUCAAACUCAAACCUAAAUAUUUUCCUAAAACAUGCAAUGCUUUUGUCAUAUCACAACAUGAAUAAAUAAUCAUUUCAGCUUUACUAAUGAAGUCACUUUCCCUCAGUGUUUGGUGUCUGUUCCUAAUUUGUUUUUUUUUUUGUUUUUUCCUGGAGCUCACUUAGAUAUGAGACAGCUAGAUGUUUCAAGGAUCUAUAAUUUUUUUAACUCUCCUUAAACCUACAUAUAACCACCUGCCUAUGUGUAUUAAACAUUAUCUCACAACAUUUGUGUGUUUGUGCCACAUUCAUAGAAAAUUUAAGCCUGUAGUUUAAAUAAAUAAAUGUUUAUUUCAGAUCAUGCUGCAGUGUUGUUUACUUUCAGUUUGUUUUAGACAUAAAAAGCACACAGGAUGUGAUUUGCUGGCAGAUUAUACACCACACCCUUCUCAGUUUAGAGAUAAAGAACAGAGAGCAGCUGGAUGCUCAAGAGAUAAAAGCUUUUUGGUAUAUAAGGUAUGCUCUCUCGGCCUCUGGCACAGUCAUGGAACGUUGUGUGGUGGUGUGGUUAUUGACAUUCUGAUAGCAUCAGCCCUGACACAUCGUUGAGUUCCCAUGAAGGAAACUACACCAGGUUACUUAUGUAACUCGGUACCCUGAGAAGGGAACGAGGUGCUGCAUCACUGGCCAUGCCCUGGGCGUCCACUCGCGCUUCUUUCAGACAAAUAGAAGCUGGACUAAUGUGAUAUAAUGUGAUGCCCUUAUAUGGACUUGAUGGCGCAUAAUCACUUUGUCAUGUCCUUAACGAGCCAUUAAAUUGGCGUGUGUGCACACAGAGCUUUAGACACAACUUCUUCAAAGAAAGGCAUCAGACAUCUAAGGGUUAAUAACACACUCUCCUCUGUGUUUCAUCAGGUGGCUCAUGAGGGGAGUUUUUGCAGGAAGCAAAAGAAGGACAACCAGGUUAAACACUUGUUGCCAGGUGUGGGAAAUUGAUUGAGAGAAAGCGGACCCCACGCAAAUCUUAACAGCAUCCUAAUUUCCUCAUGCUGGGAGGCGUCCUAAGGGGCCACCUGGGGGCUUCUGGGGCAGCUAAACGACCAGUUUGUCUGGUCAGGGAUGGAUGCUGAAGUGCGAGCUUUCUGCCAGCACACGUCUCCAAAAAAGUCAGCUUCUGUACCACUCAUUCCGCUUCCCAACGCCAGUGUCCCCUUUAAGCCGCUGGAUCUUGUCAGGCUGCUGCUGAUGUCAGCCCGGGGUCGCAAGUACAUCCUCGCUAUUGUUGACUACACCACACGACACCAUGAGGUGGUCUCACUUUGGAAAUCAAUCUACCACAACAUUGUUUAAGAAUUGAUGGUAAAGCCUCUGAGGAUGUCCAUUGGCUACUGUACCACCGCACUUCAAGCAAAUAUUGAAGAGGAUGGCUGCUACCUCCUGUAUAUAUAUUUAUUAAAUGAACAGAACAUGCAGUGUGAUAAAAAAGUUUCUACUAAUAUAUAUAGUAAAUAUACUCUAUAUGAAGUAAUAGUAAUAAAAUACAUUAAAGAAUUAAGGCAUAAAUCAUUGGUCAAGAGAUGAAAGCUGUUUGGUAAAUAAAGUAUGAUGGAAGUAUACUGAUUCUGUUAAACGUAAACAUUUCAAUAUUUUAUUUUUUUUGUAAAUUAAGCUCUAAAUCUUUCAUUUGUCCUUUCAGAGAUUAAACUACAUUUUCUGGGAGAAAAAUGUGUUGUACCACCCAACGAUUGUAUUAAAUACGGUAUAACUAAAACUA
This is a long non-coding RNA of Tachysurus fulvidraco (yellow catfish), 2130 nucleotides long. RefSeq lists it as uncharacterized. The record is from RefSeq and is a predicted model, not a curated record. NCBI's taxonomy places the organism in Eukaryota, Metazoa, Chordata, Actinopteri, Siluriformes, Bagridae. The transcript has 2 exons.